AGUAAAGGAACAUCAGUCCUGGGGUUGGGAUGAAGGAGGAUCGACUCCCCAAAGUGAGGAGGCACUUUUCCA
This 72-nucleotide microRNA precursor is filed under the name Sus scrofa (pig). RNAcentral describes it as "mir-9791 microRNA precursor family". It matches the Rfam family "mir-9791 microRNA precursor family". The record is from Rfam by way of RNAcentral. Lineage: Eukaryota; Metazoa; Chordata; Mammalia; Artiodactyla; Suidae.